AUUCGGGCAUCGAAAACCGAUGACAGGUUGUAUAGGUCCGCCUGUCGAGUUCCCUGAUUGCCAGUGCCAUUAUACUUGGAAGUCGGGCAAAGGAGCCGCAUCCGAAGACUUGCUACUCCGUCAAUCAGCUGUUAUCAACCCUUGUCGCAUGGAAACUCCCCCUGACGCUUUUGGCAUCUACAGGAGUUUCUCUCUAGCGACGGUUCAUUAUUUCAGCCAGCUUCGGGAAUCAGGACGGAUCAAGUUGUUCCAAUCCAUCACGAACCCAUGUGUGCGAAGCUGGAUGCGUCAAUAUUUUCUGUAUCUAUUUUGAGGUUGGCGCUGUCUCCGCGCAUGGAAUAUGUUCGUUUUCUGUUCUUUUAUUAGUAUCUCGGGACCCUUGGUAGAUUCUUUUGUGUGAGGGCUUACUUUGCAUUUAUCUAUAAUGAAGUCGUGUGUACCGCGCGUCUGUUGAGUGAUCCUCGUGUAGCAGAAUGGAUGCUCAGAAGAGAUGAUAUUGUAGACGCAAUGAGGAAGGUCUCGGAAGCGCUUUCAGCAAUCCGAACUGAUAUUUCUGUCGGUUUUUUCUUUUUUUACUUGUCUAGUAGAAUAACAAUGGAACAUUUCUCGAAACUUCUUCAUGCACUUUUUCUUUAUUAGUUUUCUUGUGGCACUCCUCACACACGCAAAGACGAAAGAAAUUGUGAAUCAAAAUAGAGAAAGUGUGUACCA
Long non-coding RNA from Ornithodoros turicata, 711 nucleotides. RefSeq lists it as uncharacterized. The transcript is spliced from 2 exons. The record is from RefSeq and is a predicted model, not a curated record. Lineage: Eukaryota; Metazoa; Arthropoda; Arachnida; Ixodida; Argasidae.